UCCAAGAAAUACUGGGAGUGCUGGACCC
This 28-nucleotide non-coding RNA is filed under the name Homo sapiens (human). Lineage: Eukaryota; Metazoa; Chordata; Mammalia; Primates; Hominidae. The record is from RNAcentral.